UGAUUGCCGGGCCGAGAGAUAUGAUGA
Molecule: small RNA, 27 nt
Filed under: Bombyx mori (domestic silkworm)
Lineage: Eukaryota; Metazoa; Arthropoda; Insecta; Lepidoptera; Bombycidae
Description: ovarian small RNA-33116
Source: RNAcentral